GGCCUCAACCUCCGCCUCAAUUAAAUGCUCCUCCUGCCACCACUCAACUGAUGCCUUGGACAACUGUACCAUUCCAUCCAUACGUGUAAAAAUUGUAUCCAUGAUCAUUUUCAGAUGCUUCACUGUUUUGUCCACAUGAACCCAACUUUCAGAUUCUCGCUCUCGCAAAAUGCCACCGAGACCCACCAACUCUGAACCAGAGCAGAUCCUCCUGAUAGAACUGGAACCUCUAAUCCUAUCGAUGCCCUUCUUCAGCUUCUUGAGUUCAUCUGUAGCUAAAUUUCUUAGUCCACCUAAAAUCUCUCUCGUCUUUUCAUGUUCCCGGAAAACAUCUGAUAAA
This 340-nucleotide unclassified non-coding RNA is filed under the name Hevea brasiliensis (rubber tree). The record is from RNAcentral. Lineage: Eukaryota; Viridiplantae; Streptophyta; Magnoliopsida; Malpighiales; Euphorbiaceae.